AUGUCGCCGGUGCCGCUGGAUCCAAGCCUUGCGCCGCUUCUGCUAUUCGACCGCGGUGGUGGCCAGUCCGACGACGACGAUGACACCAUCUUCUUGUACAGCAUACCCAAGAGGAAGCUGCUGAGCAGGUCCAGGAGAGCCGCCGGCCUCGCAGGCCACCGCUACUGGGUGACACCACAAGGCUGGCUGCUGAUGCUGCAUCUCGAAUCGCGCGACACCUUCCUAUGGAAUCCGUCUAGCUUCAAGAGAAUUCACCUCCACGUCGACCAAGACAAUCUCCUUGACGGCAUAGGAGACGGCAGGUGCCUGCUCUCGCGGAGGCCGUCUGACGCAGACGCAGACUGCGUCGUGCUCCUACUAGACCGUGACAACAGCGUCUUCUACUACUGCCGUCCAGUACCAGGAGGCAGCCGGUGGCUCAGGCACGCGCAUGGUCACCAUAGCUUGAUGGACAAUUGCCUUGCAACGGCUGGUGAAAAAUUCUGCUCAUACAACGCCAACGGAAUUGUGACGCUCGAGUUUUCUCCCAACCCAACGUUCACGACGCACGACCUGUUGGAACAUAGUAGUAGAAUAAUAAAACCCACGGGGUAUACCAUGUGGUGUGAUCUCGUCGUCGAGAGCAACGGCGAGCUCUUCAGCCUGAUAUUCUGCCACCCGGUACUGUCUGAACGAAGAGUGACGCAGAUCGUGGUGCGCAAGCUGGAUCUCUCGACGGGAGCUUGGCUGAGAGCGGACACGCUGGGCGGCGCCGUGUUCCUCGUCGAUUGCACCCGCCGUUACGGGGCGUCGUUUGAUGCCCGUCGGGUUGCUGGCCUGGGAAAGGGGAACCGCAUAUACUUUCUGACGUACGAGGACAAGGCGUUGUAUGUGUAUGACCUCGAGCGGGGAACUACUGCCAUGCAUGAUCCUGGACUCGAUCUACACGAUUCUCAUGUAGAGGAGUACAAAAUAUAG
RNAcentral lists this ribosomal RNA (957 nucleotides) under Triticum aestivum (bread wheat). Its description in RNAcentral is "partial small subunit ribosomal RNA". Lineage: Eukaryota; Viridiplantae; Streptophyta; Magnoliopsida; Poales; Poaceae. The record is from RNAcentral.